AGAGUUUGAUCAUGGCUCAGGACGAACGCUGGCGGCGUGCUUAACACAUGCAAGUCGAGCGGAAAGGCCACUUCGGUGGUACUCGAGCGGCGAACGGGUGAGUAACACGUGAGUAAUCUGCCCCUGGCUUUGGGAUAGCCACCGGAAACGGUGAUUAAUACCGGAUACGACCACUUCUCGCAUGGGAUGGUGGUGGAAAGUUUUUCGGCCAGGGAUGUGCUCGCGGCCUAUCAGCUUGAUGGUGAGGUAAUGGCUCACCAUGGCUUCGACGGGUAGCCGGCCUGAGAGGGUGACCGGUCACACUGGGACUGAGACACGGCCCAGACUCCUACGGGAGGCAGCAGUGGGGAAUAUUGGACAAUGGGCGGAAGCCUGAUCCAGCAACGCCGCGUGAGGGAUGACGGCCUUCGGGUUGUAAACCUCUUUCAGUACCGACGAAGCGCAAGUGACGGUAGGUACAGAAGAAGCACCGGCCAACUACGUGCCAGCAGCCGCGGUAAUACGUAGGGUGCGAGCGUUGUCCGGAAUUAUUGGGCGUAAAGGGCUCGUAGGCGGUUUGUCGCGUCGGGAGUGAAAACCAGGUGCUUAACACCUGGCUUGCUUUCGAUACGGGCAGACUAGAGGUAUGCAGGGGAGAACGGAAUUCCUGGUGUAGCGGUGAAAUGCGC
Molecule: ribosomal RNA, 668 nt
Filed under: uncultured bacterium
Lineage: Bacteria
Description: bacterial SSU rRNA
Rfam family: Bacterial small subunit ribosomal RNA
Source: RNAcentral